GAUGCGGUAGCACAGUGGUUAACUGUGCGUGACUUGGGACCGUGAGGUCUUGAGUUCAAACCCUUUCCGCAGCU
Molecule: non-coding RNA, 74 nt
Organism: Gymnothorax javanicus (giant moray)
Lineage: Eukaryota; Metazoa; Chordata; Actinopteri; Anguilliformes; Muraenidae
Source: the annotation of a GenBank genome assembly